GCGGUGAAGGGACGCGGCGCUUUGCUAGGCAAGGAGGCAGCAAAGCCACAUGUCGAUUUGGUAGUCAGUGACGGGACACUGCACUUUGCUGGGAGGCAAGGCGGCGAAGGCACGCAGUGCUUUGCUAGGCAGCAAGGGGAAAAGGGACGCAGCAGUGUGCUAGGCGGCGAGGCGGCAAAGGGACACGGUGCUUUGCUAGGCAGCGAAGCGGCGAAGGUACGUGCUGCUCUGCUAGGCGGCGAGGGUCACAGCGGUGUGCUAGUCGGCGAGGCGGUGAAGGGACACGGCGCUUUGCUAGGCGGCGAGGCAGCGAAGGGACGCAGCGGUGUGCAAGGGGGAAAGGCAAGCAGUGCUUUGGCAGGUGGCGAAGGCACGCAGCGCUUUGCUAGGCUGCCAUGCGGUGAGGCACCAACACGCCGAAGGAUGCAGCCGUUUGCCAGGUGGCGAAGGAAGGAGGGUCGCAGCACUUUGCUAGGCGGUGAGGCGCGAGGGGACAAAGUGAUUUGAGAGGUGGCGAGGGGGAAAAGGGACGCAGUGGUUUGCUAGGCGGUGUGGCGCCGAGGCGCUGAGCUGACACAGCGCUUUGCUAGGCGGCGAAGGGAUACAGCGGUGUGCUAGUCGGCAGGUGGUGAAGGGACACGGCGCUUUGCUAGGUGUCGAGGUGGCGAAGGGACACAGCGGUGUGCGAGGCGGUGAAGGCAUGCAGUGCUUGGCCAGGUGGCAAAGGCACGCAGCGCGUUUCUAGGCUGCGAUGCGGCGAGGUGCCGAAGCACCGAAGGAUGCAGCCGUUUGCCAGGCGGCGAGGGGGGGGAGGGACGCAGUGCUUUGCUAGGCGGUGAGGCGCAAGGGGACAAAUCGAUCUGAGAGGUGGUGAGGGGGAAAAGGGAUGCAGCGGUGUGCUAGGCGGUGAGGCGGCGAAGGGACGCAGUGCUUUGCCAGGCGGCGAAGGGACACAAUGCUUAUCUAGGUGGUGAAGGGACGCGGCGCUUUGUGAGGCUGCGAGGCGGUGAAGGGAUGCAGCAGUGUGCUAGUCGGCGAGGGGGAAAAAGACGCAGCGGUGUGCUAGGUGGCUCUGCAGUUUGCUUUAGCAUGCUGAAGCAAACAGACAGAGCGGUUUGGUUCUUCACGAGGGAGCAAAGAGACAAGGCGGUUGGUUAGUUUGCGAGGCAUCCAAGAGAUGCAGCAGUGUGCUUGUUUGCAAGGCGAAGAAGAAAAGCAGCGCGUAGUUAGUCAGCUAUGUGGCGAAGAGACGCAACAGUUUGCUUGUUUGCGAUGCAGUGAACAGAUGCAGCGGUUUGCUUGUUCACCAGGCAGCAAACAGACACAGUGGUUUUUAUGCUCACUAGACGGUGAACAGAUACAGUGGUUUCCUUGUUCAUGAAGCAGCGAACAUAUACAGCGGUUUGCUUGCUGGCGAGGCAGCGAAGAGACGCAGCGCUUUGCUUCUUGGCGAGGGAGCAAAGGGACAAGGCGGUUGGUUAGUUUGCGAGGCAUCCAAGAGAUGCAG
RNAcentral lists this long non-coding RNA (1507 nucleotides) under Apteryx haastii (Great spotted kiwi). RNAcentral's name for it is "lncRNA (ENSAHAG00000004477.1)". The record is from RNAcentral. Lineage: Eukaryota; Metazoa; Chordata; Aves; Apterygiformes; Apterygidae.